GUGAGGAAUUUUGCGCAAUGGGCGAAAGCCUGACGCAGCGACGCCGCGUGGAGGAGGAAGGUCUUCGGAUCGUAAACUCCUGUCUGGGGGGACGAAUGCCGGUGGGAUGAAUAAGCCCAUCGGUCGACGGUACCUCCGGAGGAAGCCCCGGCUAACUCCGUGCCAGCAGCCGCGGUAAUACGGAGGGGGCCAGCGUUGUUCGGAAUCAUUGGGCGUAAAGGGCGCGUAGGCGGCUUGGCAAGUCCGUUGUGAAAGCCCUCGGCUCAACCGAGGAAUUGCGACGGAUACUGCCGGGCUCGAGUCCCGGAGAGGGUAGCGGAAUUCCCAGUGUAGCGGUGAAAUGCGUAGAUAUUGGGAGGAACAUCGGUGGCGAAGGCGGCUACCUGGACGGGUACUGACGCUGAGGCGCGAAAGCUAGGGGAGCAAACAGGAUUAGAUACCCUGGUAGUCC
Molecule: ribosomal RNA, 451 nt
Filed under: uncultured bacterium
Lineage: Bacteria
Description: bacterial SSU rRNA
Rfam family: Bacterial small subunit ribosomal RNA
Source: RNAcentral